Molecule: ribosomal RNA, 497 nt
Filed under: uncultured bacterium
Lineage: Bacteria
Description: partial 16S ribosomal RNA
Rfam family: Bacterial small subunit ribosomal RNA
Source: RNAcentral
GAUGAACGCUGGCGGCGUGCCUAAUACAUGCAAGUCGAGCGAACAGACGAGGAGCUUGCUCCUCUGACGUUAGCGGCGGACGGGUGAGUAACACGUGGAUAACCUACCUAUAAGACUGGGAUAACUUCGGGAAACCGGAGCUAAUACCGGAUAACAUGUUGAACCGCAUGGUUCAACAGUGAAAGACGGUCUUGCUGUCGCUUAUAGAUGGAUCCGCGCCGCAUUAGCUAGUUGGUAAGGUAACGGCUUACCAAGGCAACGAUGCGUAGCCGACCUGAGAGGGUGAUCGGCCACACUGGAACUGAGACACGGUCCAGACUCCUACGGGAGGCAGCAGUAGGGAAUCUUCCGCAAUGGGCGAAAGCCUGACGGAGCAACGCCGCGUGAGUGAAGAAGGUCUUCGGAUCGUAAAACUCUGUUAUUAGGGAGGAACAAAUGUGUAAGUAACUAUGCACGUCUUGACGGUACCUAAUCAGAAAGCCACGGCUAACUACGUG